This 255-nucleotide ribosomal RNA is filed under the name uncultured bacterium. RNAcentral describes it as "partial 16S ribosomal RNA". It matches the Rfam family "Bacterial small subunit ribosomal RNA", at positions 524 to 776 of the family's 1533-position model. The record is from RNAcentral.
UACGUAGGGUGCAAGCGUUAUCCGGAAUUAUUGGGCGUAAAGAGCUCGUAGGCGGUUUGUCGCGUCUGCUGUGAAAACUGGAGGCUCAACCUCCAGCCUGCAGUGGGUACGGGCAGACUAGAGUGCGGUAGGGGAGAUUGGAAUUCCUGGUGUAGCGGUGGAAUGCGCAGAUAUCAGGAGGAACACCGAUGGCGAAGGCAGAUCUCUGGGCCGUAACUGACACUGAGGAGCGAAAGGCAUGGGGGAGCGAACAGG